CUUUCAUUUGUCACUGUGUUUCUCAAAUAUUUCAUUGUGUUCCUUUCUUGUUUCUUCCAUUUCCACCUUCUCCUUGCUAUUUAUAUCCUCAAUUCCACCGUGGCUACAAUUUGACCUUUCCCCAUCGUUGGGUUGAACUUUAGUAAGUUCAUUGGUCAUCUUUCUCAUUUUAGCAAUUUUGAUUGUUUAGUAUUCUUCAUCUCUCACACCUUCUCUCGGUCAUGGGUUGCCCUAGUACAAGUUGCUUUAUUUUCUCAAACGUGUUGCUCCAUUCAUCUCCACAAUUGUGGUUCUGAACAAAGGUUGUUUGCUGGAGAUGUGAUCCUUAAGGUUAAUGGUAGUGAGUUUGCUAAACCAGGUCCUAAUGCAGUUUCUGAAGUUGUCUUAGCCAAUGUAAUACCUAUACAGGAGGC
RNAcentral lists this small RNA (413 nucleotides) under Vigna angularis var. angularis. RNAcentral describes it as "Non-protein coding transcript". Lineage: Eukaryota; Viridiplantae; Streptophyta; Magnoliopsida; Fabales; Fabaceae. The record is from RNAcentral.